RNAcentral lists this ribosomal RNA (389 nucleotides) under uncultured bacterium. Its description in RNAcentral is "partial 16S ribosomal RNA". It matches the Rfam family "Bacterial small subunit ribosomal RNA", at positions 523 to 910 of the family's 1533-position model. The record is from RNAcentral.
AUACGUAGGUGACAAGCGUUAUCCGGAUUUACUGGGCGUAAAGGGCGUGUAGGCGGUCUUGCAAGUCAGAAGUGAAAUUCCUGAGCUCAACUCGGGCGCUGCUUCUGAAACUGCAGGACUUGAGUGCUGGAGGGGAUAGCGGAAUUCCUAGUGGAGCGGUAAAAUGCGCAGAUAUUAGGAAGAACACCGGUGGCGAAGGCGGCUAUCUGGACAGUAACUGACGCUGAGGCGCGAAAGCGUGGGGAGCAAACAGGAUUAGAUACCCGGAUAGACCACGCCGUAAACGAUGAAUACUAGGUGUAGGGGGUAUCGACUCCCUCCGUGCCGCAGUUAACACAAUAAGUAUUCCGCCUGGGGAGUACGGCCGCAAGGUUGAAACUCAAAUGAAU